CCUACGGGAGGCUGCAGUGAGGAAUAUUGGUCAAUGGCCGUAAGGCUGAACCAGCCACGUCGCGUGAAGGAAGAAGGAUCUAUGGUUUGUAAACUUCUUUUAUAGGGGAAUAAAGGUAUCCACGUGUGGCUCUUUGCAUGUACCCUAUGAAUAAGCAUCGGCUAACUCCGUGCCAGCAGCCGCGGUAAUACGGAGGAUGCGAGCGUUAUCCGGAUUUAUUGGGUUUAAAGGGUGCGUAGGCGGGCUUUUAAGUCAGCGGUAAAAAGUCGGGGCUCAACCCCGUCCGGCCGUUGAAACUGGGUGCCUGGAGUGGGCGAGAAGAAGGCGGAAUGCGUGGUGUAGCGGUGAAAUGCAUAGAUAUCACGCAGAACCCCGAUUGCGAAGGCAGCCUUCCGGCGCCCUACUGACGCUGAGGCACGAAAGUGCGGGGAUCGAACAGGAUUAGAUACCCCGGUAGUC
This 459-nucleotide ribosomal RNA is filed under the name uncultured bacterium. RNAcentral's name for it is "partial 16S ribosomal RNA". It matches the Rfam family "Bacterial small subunit ribosomal RNA", at positions 338 to 795 of the family's 1533-position model. The record is from RNAcentral.